GUUCUUGUAGUUGAAUCACAACGGUGGUUUUUCAAGUCAUUGGUCCUGGUUGAAGUCCGGGCAGGAAUU
RNAcentral lists this transfer RNA (69 nucleotides) under Telmatherina celebensis (Celebes rainbow). RNAcentral describes it as "tRNA-Glu". It matches the Rfam family "tRNA". Rfam says of the family: Transfer RNA (tRNA) molecules are approximately 80 nucleotides in length. Lineage: Eukaryota; Metazoa; Chordata; Actinopteri; Atheriniformes; Telmatherinidae. The record is from RNAcentral.